AACGAACGCUGGCGGCAUGCCUAACACAUGCAAGUCGAACGAGACCUUCGGGUCUAGUGGCGCACGGGUGCGUAACGCGUGGGAACCUGCCCUUAGGUUCGGAAUAACUCCCCGAAAGGGGUGCUAAUACCGGAUAAUGUCUUCGGACCAAAGAUUUAUCGCCUUUGGAUGGGCCCGCGUUGGAUUAGCUAGUUGGUAGGGUAAAAGCCUACCAAGGCGACGAUCCAUAGCUGGUCUGAGAGGAUGAUCAGCCACACUGGGACUGAGACACGGCCCAGACUCCUACGGGAGCCGGCAGUGGGGAAUAUUGGACAAUGGGCGAAAGCCUGAUCCAGCAAUGCCCCGGGGGUGAUGAAGGCCUUAGGGUUGUAAGCUCUUUUACCCGGGAUGAUAAUGACAGUACCGGGAGAAUAAGCUCCGGCUAACUCCGUG
RNAcentral lists this ribosomal RNA (432 nucleotides) under uncultured bacterium. RNAcentral's name for it is "partial 16S ribosomal RNA". It matches the Rfam family "Bacterial small subunit ribosomal RNA", at positions 29 to 507 of the family's 1533-position model. The record is from RNAcentral.